RNAcentral lists this ribosomal RNA (322 nucleotides) under Pelobates cultripes (western spadefoot toad). Its description in RNAcentral is "SSU_rRNA_eukarya". It matches the Rfam family "Eukaryotic small subunit ribosomal RNA", at positions 136 to 428 of the family's 1831-position model. Lineage: Eukaryota; Metazoa; Chordata; Amphibia; Anura; Pelobatidae. The record is from RNAcentral.
CAUAUAUAUAUAUAUAUAUAUAUAUAUAUAUUUUUUUUUUUUUAAUUGGUGUAGCCCCCAAAAUAUUGGGACAUAUAAAAAAAGACAACUCUGUUCUGCAGAGUAGUUGUUGACAUUAUAGUUGUGCAGGAACUUUGAUGACUCUAGAGAACCUUGAGCAAAUCGCACAUCCCCGUGGCAGCGACUUUGCAUGCGAAUGUCAUCCAUAUCAACUUUCGAUGCCAGUUUCUGCACCUACCAUGGUGACCACAGGUAACGGGGAACCAGGGUUCCAUUCCGUACAGGGACCCUGAGAAACUGCUACCACAUGCAAGGAAGGCAG